This is a long non-coding RNA of Anolis carolinensis (green anole), 4258 nucleotides long. NCBI's taxonomy places the organism in Eukaryota, Metazoa, Chordata, Lepidosauria, Squamata, Anolidae. The record is from Ensembl.
AUGAGACAUACUUCUCUCUCACAACUGGCUGUGAGUUCACUCUUCUUCUUCUUCAGCUAUAAGGCAUUUGUUGAACAGGCAAGAUUCUCUGAUGACAGACCAAUGUCACUUCAGAAAAAAGGAAAAGCUCAAAACACUCUCCAGCACCGGCUUCUGCAAAAACUGCGGGUUCAGCGAUGUCUACCUUCCCAGAAGACCAAAUGAGACACAGACAGGUUGAAAGCAAAGUUAGAGGUUUAUUUCUCAGUGGCCAGAGAGGAUACCAGUGAAGACAGCACUUCAGAGACCUGAAAUCCCACAACUGCAAAUACAGAACCUAUAUAUUAUAUUUUGACAGCUAUUCAAGACACCCACGUUUGCUUCUGAUUGGUUUAGAAUCCAACUAGGAUCCGCUUUGUGGUUAGUCCCAGAUUCCCUCUGAUAUCAUUGCUGGUUGAUCUCCACAAGAACCAUAAAUAAUUUUUAUUGUAUCAUUUUGAAAUUUGUGUCUAUUUAUUGAUCUGGCCGUGAGCAGGAUAUGCGCAGGGAAGAAUGCAAUGGGGCAAGUGAUAAUGGGCUGAAAUGGGUCUUAAUAUUCCAGCUCUUAUAAAUACAAUAAUGUCAGUCCAAAUAAACAAAAGGUGCCUGGGAGGAGAGAAGAGUCCUGUGUAGACAUUGUCCAGGAUCCCACAUUUGCAAAAACAUUAUAGUUCUCCAUAAUGAUUUUUUUUUUUUUGCUGAAGAUUGUUUCACCUUUCACUGAAAUAUUGCUUCCCAUCCACAUCCCAAAAUAGCAAAAAAAUUACUUUUGCAUGUGACUUGAAGUGACCUAAAUAUAUCUGUUAUUUCCUGGAAAAUGGAAAAGAAAUUAGUGAAUCCACAAGUAAGUUAAUUCUGUGUCACCUAUUUAACUAUGUAGCUACAUUGGUUACAUAGCUCCCAAACUCAUUCCUUUCCCCAUUGUUGCUCUACUUGGCAUCAGCCAGGAGUCUGUCCCCCUCGCAACCAGCAGCUGAGUUUUCCACUCCUUCCCAUUAGCCAUUUCUAAGGCAGAAGACCAGGUCCUUGUGGCAUUCCCAUUCAUGGCAGAGAUCACUUGCAUGUGGGAGGUGGAUGGGAACAUCAGUCAUCUGCUUCACAAUUAACAGAGUAACAGAUCCCUGUUGCUUGCAGCAGCUGCUUCUUGGUAAGUAAAGUUUGGAGAACUUUCACAGUCGCUACAUAUGCCUUAAAGAUCAUGAAUACAAAUCAGUCAUGAAUACAUAACUUUAGGAUACCAAUUUGUAACUGCCUUACUAAAUUCCAGCUCAGUACUUUGUAUUCUCUCUCUCUUUAACAACUAUACAGGUGCCAUUAGAAAAUGUGUUUUGUUCAAUUCUGAACAAUGCCAGCAUGCUCUUAGGUAUAUUUAAAUUGUCAGAAGUUGCCCUCCUACCUACUGCAUACCUUUUAAGUCCACUGUGGAGCAAGCCUGCACAGCAGUAAGAAACAAAAUCAUUUGACUUAUUUUUGGCAUCCAUUGUUGUCUUCUGUAACAUAUUUAUGAUUUUAUUUUCUUUUGUUCUGCUUUGUGGGUGCACCAAGACAUGGAUGAGAUUAUAACUAAUUAAUCUUCCAACAUGCCUUUAGAAACUGGGAUAGAAAAUGUUACACAAGCUUUUUAUUAGUAUUUGGCACAACCUCCAGGGUAGUUAUUUCAGGCUCAUUAAUUUGUGGUCUAAUCUGAAAUUUCUAUGGACAAUUUGAAAGAGUAUCGAAGUAACUACAAGCCCUUUGUCAUUACCCUCUGUUUUUUGGAAACAAAGAAGCAAGGACAAAGCAAGACGAUUAAAACAUUAGCACUGCAGUGUUGAAGAAAACCCAAAUGUGGAACAGAUAACAUUGCUUUUGACAAAAGUAAUUUGAAUCAAAAAGAGAUAAAGGGCGAGCAUUAAAUAGUUUUACAUGAAAUCUAAUGGCAUUCAAACAAUUCUACUGAUUCAAGGCACUGGUGCAUUAGUUCAAUUAUUCAUAAUUUCUCAAAUAUAACUUCAGCAGCAUGAUUACAAACAGAAUAGAAAAGGUAUUCCUUCAGAGAGUUAAAGGUGAUACAACUAAUUUGUUGUUUUCCAUGUUCUGAAUACUAAUCCUGAAUAUGUGUGUAUAGCCCAAAUCAGACCAAUAUUGGAUAGUACACAUUGAAAUUCACAGGCAAAAGAAAAAAUAGAUCUUCCAUGCUUGUUGAUGGUUGCAUUUUAUUAUUUAAAGAGGUUUUUGGUUAUCCUUUUUCAUAAAAAGGCCAACACAGUUCAGUCUUUAUAUUGUAUACUGACUUUCUUCAGAGUUUACACAUUCAAUCUAACAACAGUAGACAUUUCCUCUUUAUAAAAAGGUCAUAUAUAUGGAAGGAACCUGAUGAUUUUCAGGGGGUAAACUCUUUCAAAUGUUGGUCAUCCAAACUGAAUCUGAGAAACCUCAGUUUCUGCCUGUGCUGAUGGAUCCUAUUGUGACGGCACGAGUGGCGCCAUCUAUAUGUCAAACUGUAAGUUGCAAGAUUUGAAUUGUUGUAUCAUGCCUGAUUUUGCCCUUACCCUGUAAAUGUAGUUGGAUUGGUUAUUUAUAUCUGUCAAUCAAUGUUGUUUGUACCUGUUAUAUUGCUCACCCAGCUCAACUGUUUGGCUCCACCUCUUCCUGGAGUAGAACUGUGUUUCCUCCUUUUCAUUCCACCAGCAAGCUCUCUACCAUGGAGGUGAGAAAGAGAUUUGGCUCUGAAAGCCCUUGAAAAGUUACCUCUCAGCACCAAUUCUGAGAUUCUUACCCUUGGGACUCACACUUCAUGUUCAGGGCCAACCUGAAUAACGUUGAGGAGUCUCAAGCGCCUUCACAUCAGUCCUUUGGCAACAGAGGAAGACUGUGUCUUCAGACAUAGGUCAUUGGACUGAGGCUGAGUUUACUUCGGCAUUCACAGCCAGAGAAAGAGGAAUCUGGAAAAGCUCCACGGACUUAAAACAAUCAAAGACUGUAAUGUAUAUUUUCUUUUUCCCCCUUUAUGGACAAUAAACCCAGUUUUUGAGUUAUCUACAGUGUUUUGGUCCUUGGGAGUUCCAGUUUCCCUAAAGGAGGGCAAGAAGCAAUCCCCUGGGGAAAGAUGUCACGUCCACACCUAUCACAACCCACCAUGGUCUGCUGCAUCAGUCAUACUACAUUAUAUUGAAAUAGAAGAGAUGGGGGGAUUUUGAUAGAACAGAAAAAAUAAGUUGGCAUUUGGACAUUUUAUCACGGGAGACUGACAGUCCUUCUGACUCACAAGGAGAAAUUGUUUGAACAUUAGGUCUGUGACAGACACCAUGGCUCAGUCAAGUGACAAGGAGAUAAGUUGAAAGCUUCUGUUAAAAGAGAAGCUAUUGCUGCUGUCAGAGCAAAGCAGGGCACUAAGCUCAUUCAAUUGAUAAUCCAUGUCAACAUUCUCUUAAGGUUGAGUGCACAGAUUUGGUACACAAGGAUUACAUCCAGUUCUGACUGGAGUGCUGCAGGUAAUAUAUGUAUGCCAAUGUAUACACGAGUGCAAUGCACACAUAUACUUAUCAUAUAUUGUUUUCACUGACUUGUUUGUUUGUUUGCUUAUCUCAGUGGUUCUCAACCUGUGGGUCCCCAGGUGUUUUGGCCUAUAACUCCCAGAAAUCCCAGCCAGUGUACCAGCUGUUAGGAUUUCUGGGAGUUGAAGGCCAAAAUAUCUAGGGACCCACAGGUUGAGAACCACUGGUUUAUCUGCAGUCUUUGAAGCAAGCUGGGGAGUUGGGGAAAAUGGCAAGUCUUCUGUUCUUAGGGACUGCAUAGGUAGCUAUUGAAGGCAGAAUGAUCCAAGAAAGUAUAUCCUUAGCUUAAGACUGCACACCAUGUUAUAUUGGGAUAGUUCUCACAAUUACUCUCUGUUUACAUGCAUGUAUAGCUGUCGUGAGUAAGCAACCUACUCAAGACUAGUGUCCUAUCAUGCAAAAAGUUGUCUUGUGAUAAAAGCAGAACUGGAAGCUGGUGCACUGUGUAGCUUAGCCGAUCAUAGCUCUUGGAACAUUGACCAGAAUAGUUGCUGGAGAAGGGCCAGGCUGUGGCACAGCUGGUUAGUAGCCAGCAGCAAUAAAUCACCACUGACCGUGAGGUCAUUAGUUCAAAGCCUGGGUUGUGGUUAAAGCUCCUGACCAUUAAUAGCCUAGCUUGCUGCCAACUUAAGCAGCUCGAAAACAGAUGUGUCUGUAAGUAGAGAAUUCUAGAGACCUCUUAAUGCGGGGAGGCUAAUAUAACU